GAUGAAGAACGUAGCGAAAUGCGAUAAGUAAUGUGAAUUGCAGAAUUCCGUGAAUCAUCGAAUCUUUGAACGCACAUUGCGCCCCCUGGUAUUCCGGGGGGCAUGCCUGUCCGAGCGUCAUUGCAACCUUCAAGCGCGGCUUGUGUGUUGGGUCUCGUCCCCCGUGGACGGGCCCGAAAGGCAGUGGCGGCGUCCCGACAUGGUGCCCGAGCGUAUGGGAAUCCUCUUCCGCUCGAAUCGGCCCAUGCGGCGCUGGUCGUAACCAAAUUUUUUACCGGUUGACCUCGGAUCAGGUAGGGAUACCCGCUGAACUUAAGCAUAUCAAUACGGAGGA
This 334-nucleotide unclassified non-coding RNA is filed under the name soil metagenome. RNAcentral describes it as "partial contains 5.8S ribosomal RNA, internal transcribed spacer 2, and large subunit ribosomal RNA". The stretch from base 1 to 120 matches the Rfam family "5.8S ribosomal RNA", at positions 35 to 154 of the family's 154-position model. The record is from RNAcentral.